GCUGUGGCUUAACGGUGGUACAGCAUCUGCUUCACAUGCAAAAAGGUCCGGUUUCAAUCCCUGGCAUCUCCA
This is a non-coding RNA of Podarcis lilfordi (Lilford's wall lizard), 72 nucleotides long. Lineage: Eukaryota; Metazoa; Chordata; Lepidosauria; Squamata; Lacertidae. The record is from the annotation of a GenBank genome assembly.